CAGUAGCCACGGUAAUACGUAGGGUGCAAGCGUUAAUCGGAAUUACUGGGCGUAAAGCGUGCGCAGGCGGUUAUAUAAGACAGAUGUGAAAUCCCCGGGCUCAACCUGGGAACUGCAUUUGUGACUGUAUAGCUAGAGUACGGCAGAGGGGGAUGGAAUUCCGCGUGUAGCAGUGAAAUGCGUAGAUAUGCGGAGGAACACCGAUGGCGAAGGCAAUCCCCUGGGCCUGUACUGACGCUCAUGCACGAAAGCGUGGGGAGCAAACAGGAUUAGAUACCCGCGUAGUCCCUGUCUCUUUACC
RNAcentral lists this ribosomal RNA (301 nucleotides) under uncultured bacterium. Its description in RNAcentral is "partial 16S ribosomal RNA". It matches the Rfam family "Bacterial small subunit ribosomal RNA", at positions 509 to 808 of the family's 1533-position model. The record is from RNAcentral.